AUAGACCCGAAACCCGGUGAUCUAGCCAUGGGCAGGUUGAAGGUUGGGUAACACUAACUGGAGGACCGAACCGACUAAUGUUGAAAAAUUAGCGGAUGACCUGUGGCUGGGGGUGAAAGGCCAAUCAAACCGGGAGAUAGCUGGUUCUCCCCGAAAGCUAUUUAGGUAGCGCCUCGUGAAUUCAUCUCCGGGGGUAGAGCACUGUUUCGGCUAGGGGGCCAUCCCGGCUUACCAACCCGAUGCAAACUGCGAAUACCGGAGAAUGUUAUCACGGGAGACACACGGCGGGUGCUAACGUCCGUCGUGAAGAGGGAAACAACCCAGACCGCCAGCUAAGGUCCCAAAGUCAUGGUUAAGUGGGAAACGAUGUGGGAAGGCCCAGACAGCCAGGAUGUUGGCUUAGAAGCAGCCAUCAUUUAAAGAAAGCGUAAUAGCUCACUGGUCGAGUCGGCCUGCGCGGAAGAUGUAACGGGGCUAAACCAUGCACCGAAGCUGCGGCAGCGACGCUGAUGCGUUGUUGGGUAGGGGAGCGUUCUGUAAGCCUGCGAAGGUGUGUCGUGAGGCAUGCUGGAGGUAUCAGAAGUGCGAAUGCUGACAUAAGUAACGAUAAAGCGGGUGAAAAGCCCGCUCGCCGGAAGACCAAGGGUUCCUGUCCAACGUUAAUCGGGGCAGGGUGAGUCGACCCCUAAGGCGAGGCCGAAAGGCGUAGUCGAUGGGAAACGGGUUAAUAUUCCCGUACUUGGUGUUACUGCGAAGGGGGGACGGAGAAGGCUAUGUUGGCCGGGCGACGGUUGUCCCGGUUUAAGCGUGUAGGUGUGUGUUCCAGGUAAAUCCGGUUCACUUUAACACUGAGGCGUGAUGACGAGGCACUACGGUGCUGAAGCAACAAAUGCCCUGCUUCCAGGAAAAGCCUCUAAGCAUCAGGUAACAUCAAAUCGUACCCCAAACCGACACAGGUGGUCAGGUAGAGAAUACCAAGGCGCUUGAGAGAACUCGGGUGAAGGAACUAGGCAAAAUGGUGCCGUAACUUCGGGAGAAGGCACGCUGACACGUAGGUGAAGUGAUUUACUCAUGGAGCUGAAGUCAGUCGAAGAUACCAGCUGGCUGCAACUGUUUAUUAAAAACACAGCACUGUGCAAACACGAAAGUGGACGUAUACGGUGUGACGCCUGCCCGGUGCCGGAAGGUUAAUUGAUGGGGUCAGCGCAAGCGAAGCUCCUGAUCGAAGCCCCGGUAAACGGCGGCCGUAACUAUAACGGUCCUAAGGUAGCGAAAUUCCUUGUCGGGUAAGUUCCGACCUGCACGAAUGGCGUAAUGAUGGCCAGGCUGUCUCCACCCGAGACUCAGUGAAAUUGAACUCGCUGUGAAGAUGCAGUGUACCCGCGGCAAGACGGAAAGACCCCGUGAACCUUUACUAUAGCUUGACACUGAACAUUGAGCCUUGAUGUGUAGGAUAGGUGGGAGGCUUUGAAGUGUGGACGCCAGUCUGCAUGGAGCCGGCCUUGAAAUACCACCCUUUAAUGUUUGAUGUUCUAACGUGGACCCGUGAUCCGGGUUGCGGACAGUGUCUGGUGGGUAGUUUGACUGGGGCGGUCUCCUCCUAAAGAGUAACGGAGGAGCACGAAGGUUGGCUAAUCCUGGUCGGACAUCAGGAGGUUAGUGCAAUGGCAUAAGCCAGCUUGACUGCGAGCGUGACGGCGCGAGCAGGUGCGAAAGCAGGUCAUAGUGAUCCGGUGGUUCUGAAUGGAAGGGCCAUCGCUCAACGGAUAAAAGGUACUCCGGGGAUAACAGGCUGAUACCGCCCAAGAGUUCAUAUCGACGGCGGUGUUUGGCACCUCGAUGUCGGCUCAUCACAUCCUGGGGCUGAAGUAGGUCCCAAGGGUAUGGCUGUUCGCCAUUUAAAGUGGUACGCGAGCUGGGUUUAGAACGUCGUGAGACAGUUCGGUCCCUAUCUGCCGUGGGCGCUGGAGAACUGAGGGGGGCUGCUCCUAGUACGAGAGGACCGGAGUGGACGCAUCACUGGUGUUCGGGUUGUCAUGCCAAUGGCACUGCCCGGUAGCUAAAUGCGGAAGAGAUAAGUGCUGAAAGCAUCUAAGCACGAAACUUGCCCCGAGAUGAGUUCUCCCUGAGACUUAGAGUCUCCUGAAGGAACGUUGAAGACGACGACGUUGAUAGGCCGGGUGUGUAAGCGCAGCGAUGCGUUGAGCUAACCGGUACUAAUGAACCGUGAGGCUUAACCUUACAACGCCGAA
RNAcentral lists this ribosomal RNA (2252 nucleotides) under Salmonella enterica subsp. enterica serovar Johannesburg. RNAcentral's name for it is "partial 23S ribosomal RNA". It matches the Rfam family "Bacterial large subunit ribosomal RNA", at positions 709 to 2925 of the family's 2925-position model. Lineage: Bacteria; Pseudomonadati; Pseudomonadota; Gammaproteobacteria; Enterobacterales; Enterobacteriaceae. The record is from RNAcentral.